RNAcentral lists this unclassified non-coding RNA (578 nucleotides) under Hevea brasiliensis (rubber tree). Lineage: Eukaryota; Viridiplantae; Streptophyta; Magnoliopsida; Malpighiales; Euphorbiaceae. The record is from RNAcentral.
UAAAAAAAAUAUAGAAAAACAUAUAUAUAAAUUCGGUUCUCGAUUCGUUACCGGUUCGGUACGGUUUCAGGUCGGUUUCGACACGGUUCCUAUUCGGUUUUUAGUGAAGAAUUAGAACCAAACAAAAGUAUCAAAAUAAAUUUGGUUCGAUAUGGUUUCUGUCGGUUCGGUUUCCCCAAGAACCAUGCACAGCCCUAGUGACUGCUUACUCUCCUUUGGAGCAAUAGGUGUCAAGUGGGGCUUGGUUAUGGGCAAUGAAGUGCUGAAAGAGAUAUCCAAGAAGAAUGGAAAGACUGUUGCCCAGGUUCUACUAAUUGCAUAUUUUCAAUUGGUAUUUUCUUUGUGCAUUUUUUUUUAUUUUUUUAGUAGAGGAUAAGGAAAUGAGACUCAAAUCUGGAUCUACCAAAUGACUGAUAUGUUUUCAGCUAUUAAAUCAUGUUAAGCUUUUCUUUAUGUAUUUUCACUUAGAUGUAAAUAGCAGUGGAUUACUCAUUAAUCCUAUAUAUAUAUAUGCUACAAAAUUUCUUUAUCUUGCCUAUAAAUAGUAAAUAUUUUGUACCUUUUGAAAACUAGUAAAC